Molecule: long non-coding RNA, 436 nt
Filed under: Aquilegia coerulea
Lineage: Eukaryota; Viridiplantae; Streptophyta; Magnoliopsida; Ranunculales; Ranunculaceae
Description: long non-coding RNA (ACOE_LNC000704)
Source: RNAcentral
CUGCAGAUCCGGCACAACUUGAUUCAUUUCCUGCAAAUAUAUAUGAACCAAUUGAAUUUUUGCAUAUAAACCCAAUACCAAUGCGUAUAUCAGCAGCAGUGAAUGCCACAUCCACAUUUAUUUUUAGAAUACCAGUUUCAGGGGGGAUCCAAAUAGUUCCUCUAUCCUCCUUCUUUCCUUUCACCUGUAUAUGGAAGUUUUUUUGUUCUCUCUUAACACAAGUAUCAAUCAGUUUAGCCAAUGUCAUACGGUUUACAUCAAUGCCUUGAAAUAUUUUUUUACAACGAGCUUUCCAAAUUUCCCAAGUAGCAAUAACACAAAAUGAACUCCAAGAAGGCUUAUCAACAAGCCAAGAUGUUGGAGGUUCAAGCCAAUAAGUAAACCAUUGUUCAGUAGUAAGAUUUUUAAAGUGAGUGAGUCUGAAGUUCCAAGAGCU